AAUCCAUGAUGUGGGCAUUUUAACUACAAAUCUUUAAAUCUCUCCCAACACUUGUAAAAUUUUUCAUUAUCUUUCUUGGUAAAAUUCAAAGAUUUCUCUCCUAAUAUU
Humulus lupulus (European hop) is the source of this 108-nucleotide small nucleolar RNA. Lineage: Eukaryota; Viridiplantae; Streptophyta; Magnoliopsida; Rosales; Cannabaceae. The record is from RefSeq and is a predicted model, not a curated record.